UUCUUGAAGUAGUCUGUGUUUUCUCCAUCACAGACAAAAGUAUAUGUGAGAUAAAUACCUGUGUAUCACAGGCUUACUUAGGCAGAGGUAGUCUUCAUUUUUUUUCAGAGCCCUGCAGGUCCUCUGUGACAGUAUGCUGAGUUCCUCUAUAGUUAAACAAUCUGUAUUUAGAAAGAGAGAGAUCAGGAGAGUGAGGGAUAUGGACAGUUCUUUGAUCAUUUAGUUACUUGCUUAUUUCUCACCUGAGAGAUGCAUGGAAAUAUUUAAAGGCAGGAAAAAGAGAGGGACUGAAAAUAGGCCUGCCCUUAACAUUUGCUUGGUCUAGGGCAAGAUUAUAAAUGGGGGCCUUGAUACUUGAAUGCCUCAAUAUUUAAAUGUACAAAUCAAGCUAAUAAACUAUAAAUUAAAAUGUGGUCUACUCUUCUAGCUUGGCAAACAUACCUUCAUAGGUCAGAAAGCUAGAGUUUGAUUAGAAAUGUUCAAAUUCAUUGGAGUUCUAUUCUGGAUAUUAUAGUGUAGUCAGAGCUAUUUUUGCCCCAGUCCCCCUCUCUUUCAUUCCUUGCUUCUCAGGGAAUGACAAGGGGACUUGUGUUCACACACAUGGAAAUCCAACCCACAUGUUCAAGCUUCAUCCAUCUUCUCCUCCAGCCUCACAAACAGCCUCCUGCUGACCACCUCUUAUGUCUUCGUGCAGGCACCUCAAACCCAGAACAAGGGUUUUAGAAUCCCUGAAGGGGAUAUAGAACUAUUUGAGCAGGAGAUUAUGAGGUUCUCAGUACCUAGAGCACAUUCUCAAAGCGGGACCCUGGGCCCAUGUGACACUCUUCCCUGUCUCCAGACUCCUUGCUCAGUGCAGAAGGGCACAACAAGAAGGGAGCCCUCUUGCCCAAGCCAGAGUGUAUAUGGCCUGUAGCCUGUGCUGGAGAGAAGGCCCUGAUAAGGAGCUUGAGUGAGGGUCAAGGAAUUCCAUCUUUCCUUUCAGCUGAGCUGGGAGAGGGAAAUGCAGACCCAGAAAGAGAUGCAUUUUUAAUUGAGAGAGCAGGGAGUUGAUGCGGUCUCUAACUUGUAGUCCUGACUUUUGCAGGGACAGGGAAGGGGAGUAUGCAUCAUCCCUUGCUAGGUGGAGGGAAGGUGGCAGAAACUUGGGAGGAGUCAGAGGCAAGAUUUGGAAAAAACACCCUCUAAUACUAUCAUGAGAGUAGGCUGAGAAGAGACCUACGAAAACUUCCUGACAGUGCCAAGUGUAUAUUCACAUGGGCAUGUUGGGCACAGCUCAAAUCCAGAGUGACCUUUACAGCAACUGCAAUGCAAAUGGCAACUUCUGGAGUCAAGCACUGUGCCUCUUGCACAGGCAUACCUGGCACACCCAGGCUCAUGCAAUCUUUUCUCUGAAUUUUGAUCUCAACAGGUUAUAUUGUUUUGCAAACUCUGAAUGAGGGAUAAUAAUUUUAUGGGCCCCUGUGCUUAAUGGAAAUACUUCCUAAAUCCAUGUGUGUAAAGUAAACACCAAUUUAGCACUACAUAUAUAGUCCAAAAAUGCUGAUAAAUGACGUCCCAAAUAGUGUGAUACUUACUUUUCAUUUUGAGGGACAGGAUCAUGCUCACAAGGUGGCAUUUUCCCCACCAUUGGAACCCACCCCUGUGAAUCCCACACAUAUGAUGUUGAGUUUUGUCUGUGUUUUCUUUCCAUAUAGGAAAAGCAUUAUUUGAGUUGCAAAUAUAUUCAUUAUUAUUGUAUUCCAAGGAUUUUCCAUAAUUAUUUUUAUAUAAUAUUUUACUUUGUCUCUUA
This 1789-nucleotide long non-coding RNA is filed under the name Marmota monax (woodchuck). Lineage: Eukaryota; Metazoa; Chordata; Mammalia; Rodentia; Sciuridae. The record is from RNAcentral.